UGGGGAAUAUUGCACAAUGGGCGCAAGCCUGAUGCAGCCAUGCCGCGUGUGUGAAGAAGGCCUUCGGGUUGUAAAGCACUUUCAGCGAGGAGGAAGGUGGUGGACUUAAUACGUUCAUCAAUUGACGUUACUCGCAGAAGAAGCACCGGCUAACUCCGUGCCAGCAGCCGCGGUAAUACGGAGGGUGCAAGCGUUAAUCGGAAUUACUGGGCGUAAAGCGCACGCAGGCGGUUUGUUAAGUCAGAUGUGAAAUCCCCGGGCUCAACCUGGGAACUGCAUUUGAAACGCUGGCAAGCUAGAGUCUCGUAGAGGGGGGUAGAAAUUCCAGGUGUAGCGGUGAAAUGCGUAGAGAUCUGGAGGAAUACCGGUGGCGAAGGCGGCCCCCCUGGACGAAGACUGACGCUCAGGUGCGAAAAGCGUGGGGAGCAAAACAGGAUUAGAUACCCUGGUAGUCCACGCUGUAAAACGAUGUCGAUUUGGAGGUUGUGCCCUUGAGGCGUGGCUUCCGGAGCUAACGCGUUAAAUCGACCGCCUGGGGAGUACGGCCG
RNAcentral lists this ribosomal RNA (548 nucleotides) under uncultured bacterium. Its description in RNAcentral is "partial 16S ribosomal RNA". It matches the Rfam family "Bacterial small subunit ribosomal RNA", at positions 355 to 888 of the family's 1533-position model. The record is from RNAcentral.